RNAcentral lists this unclassified non-coding RNA (224 nucleotides) under plant metagenome. Its description in RNAcentral is "partial contains small subunit ribosomal RNA and internal transcribed spacer 1". The stretch from base 1 to 46 matches the Rfam family "Eukaryotic small subunit ribosomal RNA", at positions 1786 to 1831 of the family's 1831-position model. The record is from RNAcentral.
AAGUCGUAACAAGGUUUCCGUAGGUGAACCUGCGGAAGGAUCAUUAUCGAGUUAGGGUCUUCAUGGCCUGACCUCCAACCCUGUGUUUAUUAUACCACGUUGCUUUGGCGGGCCCGCUCUUCGGGGCCGCCGGGGGUUUUGAUUCACCCUCGGCCUGUGCUCGCCGGUGGCCUUAUUAAAUUCUUUUAACUGUGAUGUCUGAGUCUAAAUAUAAAUCGUUAAAA